AUUGAACGCUAGCGGCAUGCCUUACACAUGCAAGUCGAACGGCAGCACGGGUGCUUGCACCUGGUGGCGAGUGGCGAACGGGUGAGUAAUAUAUCGGAACGUACCUUAUUGUGGGGGAUAACGCAGCGAAAGCUGUGCUAAUACCGCAUAAUCCCUAAGGGGGAAAGCGGGGGACCGUAAGGCCUCGCGCAAUUAGAGCGGCCGAUACCUGAUUAGCUAGUUGGUGAGGUAAAGGCUCACCAAGGCAACGAUCAGUAGCUGGUCUGAGAGGACGAUCAGCCACACUGGGACUGAGACACGGCCCAGACUCCUACGGGAGGCAGCAGUGGGGAAUUUUGGACAAUGGGGGCAACCCUGAUCCAGCAAUGCCGCGUGAGUGAAGAAGGCCUUCGGGUUGUAAAGCUCUUUUGUCAGGGAAGAAACAGCAGCUCUAACACAGUUUGCGAAUGACGGUACCUGAAGAAUAAGCACCGGCUAACUACGUGCCAGCAGCCGCCGUAA
This 501-nucleotide ribosomal RNA is filed under the name uncultured bacterium. RNAcentral's name for it is "partial 16S ribosomal RNA". It matches the Rfam family "Bacterial small subunit ribosomal RNA", at positions 30 to 523 of the family's 1533-position model. The record is from RNAcentral.